GGCUCGGUGGUGGGUGGCCCAAAUGCGCGUCUUAGAGCACAAAUAGCGCAGCGCAGAUGCAGCCUGUUCGAAUCAGGCCCGAGCCG
Molecule: non-coding RNA, 86 nt
Organism: Mycena sp. CBHHK59/15
Lineage: Eukaryota; Fungi; Basidiomycota; Agaricomycetes; Agaricales; Mycenaceae
Source: the annotation of a GenBank genome assembly